RNAcentral lists this ribosomal RNA (498 nucleotides) under uncultured bacterium. RNAcentral's name for it is "partial 16S ribosomal RNA". It matches the Rfam family "Bacterial small subunit ribosomal RNA", at positions 30 to 523 of the family's 1533-position model. The record is from RNAcentral.
AUUGAACGCUGGCGGCAUGCCUUACACAUGCAAGUCGAACGGUAACGGGCCUUCGGGUGCCGACGAGUGGCGAACGGGUGAGUAAUGUAUCGGAACGUACCUUUCAGUGGGGGAUAACGUAGCGAAAGUUACGCUAAUACCGCAUAUUCUGUGAGCAGGAAAGCAGGGGAUCGCAAGACCUUGCGCUGAUUGAGCGGCCGAUAUCAGAUUAGCUAGUUGGUGAGGUAAAGGCUCACCAAGGCGACGAUAUGUAGCGGGUCUGAGAGGAUGAUCCGCCACACUGGAACUGAGACACGGUCCAGACUCCUACGGGAGGCAGCAGUGGGGAAUUUUGGACAAUGGGGGCAACCCUGAUCCAGCCAUGCCGCGUGAGUGAAGAAGGCCUUCGGGUUGUAAAGCUCUUUCGGCCGGGAAGAAAUCGUAUCAGCUAAUACCUGGUGCGGAUGACGGUACCGGCAUAAGAAGCACCGGCUAACUACGUGCCAGCCGCCGCCGUAA